RNAcentral lists this ribosomal RNA (326 nucleotides) under Agostinia gaudini. Its description in RNAcentral is "partial 16S ribosomal RNA". Lineage: Eukaryota; Metazoa; Arthropoda; Insecta; Coleoptera; Carabidae. The record is from RNAcentral.
UUAAAUGGCUGCAGUAAUAUAACUGUACAAAGGUAGCAUAAUCAUUAGUUUUUUAAUUAAAAGCUUGUAUGAAAGGUUGGACGAAGUAAAAUCUGUCUCUUUUUAAUAUAAUUAGAAUUUAAUUUUUAAGUAAAAAAGCUUAAAUUUAUAUAAAAGACGAGAAGACCCUAUAGAGUUUAAUAAUUUAUUUUAAAUAAUUAAUUUAGAUUUAUUUAUUUUAUUUAUUGUAUAAUUAUUUUAUUGGGGUAAUAAAAAGAUUAAUAUAAUUCUUUUUUUUAUUUUACAUUAAUUUAUGAGUUAAAUGAUCCAUUUUUUAUGAUUAAAAG